CCUGGAAAGAUUUUGAAACAAAUGCAUCUCGUGACUGUUACAUUAGAAAGACAGAAGGAGAGGUGGUGUCACAUGAGAUGUCGCUGGAGAGACACGAAGCAGAAAUGUAAAGGGAGAUAUCAUGUCUUCACAACAAUGAAGAUCAGAAUCCCUCUCAGGUCACUGAGCUGCUGUAGAAGAUAAACAAGAUGGUCAUGAUGAAUGGAGGAAGAUACUACAGCAAUGAGAUGUUCCAGGAGGCUGAGAGAGAGAGAAUGAAGAAGACGAGGAGAGGAUCCUGAGAGAGAGAGAAUGAAGAAGACGAGGAUCCUGAGAGAGAGAGAAUGAAGAAGACGAGGAUCCUGAGAGAGAGAGAAUGAAGAAGACGAGGAUCCUGAGAGAGAGAGAAUGAAGAAGACGAGAAGAGGAUCCUGAGAGAGAGAGAAUGAAGAAGACGAGAAGAGGAUCCUGAGAGAGAGAGAAUGAAGACGAGGAGAGGAUCCUGAGAGAGAGAGAAUGAAGAAGACGAGAAGAGGAUCCUGAGAGAGAGAGAAUGAAGAAGACGAGAAGAGGAUCCUGAGAGAGAGAGAAUGAAGAAGACGAGAAGAGGAUCCUGAGAGAGAGAGAAUGAAGAAGACGAGAAGAGGAUCCUGAGAGAGAGAGAAUGAAGAAGACGAGAAGAGGAUCCUGAGAGAGAGAGAAUGAAGAAGACUAGGAGAGGAUCCUGAGAGAGAGAUGGAAGAGAGGAUCCUGAGAGAGAGAUUGAAGAAAAUGAAGAGAGGAUCCUGAGAGAGAGAUUGAAGAGAGGAAGAGAGGAUCAUGAGAGAGAGAUGGAAGAGAGGAAGAGAGGAUCAUGAGAGAGAGAUGGAAGAGAGGAGAGAGGAUCCUGAGAGAGAGAGAAUGAAGAAGACGAGGAGAGGAUCCUGAGAGAGAGAAUGAAGAGAGGAAGAGGAUCCUGAGAGAGAGAAGGAAAAGAGGAUCCUGAGAGAGAGAAGGAAAAGAGGAUCCUGAGAGAGAGAGAUGGAAGAGAGGAUCCUGAGAGAGAGAGAUGGAAGAGAGGAUC
Molecule: long non-coding RNA, 1042 nt
Organism: Oncorhynchus tshawytscha (Chinook salmon)
Lineage: Eukaryota; Metazoa; Chordata; Actinopteri; Salmoniformes; Salmonidae
Source: Ensembl